CUGCUGCCUUCCGUAGGAGUCUGGUCCGUGUCUCAGUACCAGUGUGGGGGACCUUCCUCUCAGAACCCCUACGCAUCGUCGCCUUGGUGGGCCGUUACCCCGCCAACUAGCUAAUGCGACGCAUGACCAUCCGUAGCCGGAAUCGCUUCCUUUAAACCCGAGGAGAUGCCUCCUCGGGUUGUUACGCGGUAUUAGACGGAAUUUCUUCCGCUUAUCCCCCUGCUACGGGCAGGUUUCAUACGUGUUACUCACCUGUGCCGGCCGUCCGGCCGGGNGGUA
Molecule: ribosomal RNA, 279 nt
Filed under: uncultured bacterium
Lineage: Bacteria
Description: partial 16S ribosomal RNA
Source: RNAcentral